RNAcentral lists this ribosomal RNA (253 nucleotides) under uncultured bacterium. RNAcentral's name for it is "partial 16S ribosomal RNA". It matches the Rfam family "Bacterial small subunit ribosomal RNA", at positions 524 to 776 of the family's 1533-position model. The record is from RNAcentral.
UACAGAGGGUGCGAGCGUUAAUCGGAAUUACUGGGCGUAAAGCGCGCGUAGGCGGCUUUGCAAGCCGGAUGUGAAAUCCCCGGGCUUAACCUGGGAACUGCAUUCGGGACUGCAUUGCUCGAGUAUGGGAGAGGGAAGUGGAAGUUCAGGUGUAGCGGUGAAAUGCGUAGAUAUCUGAAGGAACAUCAGUGGCGAAAGCGACUUCCUGGACCAAUACUGACGCUCAUGUGCGAAAGCGUGGGGAGCAAACAGG